RNAcentral lists this ribosomal RNA (496 nucleotides) under uncultured bacterium. RNAcentral's name for it is "partial 16S ribosomal RNA". It matches the Rfam family "Bacterial small subunit ribosomal RNA", at positions 28 to 507 of the family's 1533-position model. The record is from RNAcentral.
GACGAACGCUGGCGGCGUGCCUAAUACAUGCAAGUAGAACGCUGAAGGAAGGAGCUUGCUCUUUCUGGAUGAGUUGCGAACGGGUGAGUAACGCGUAGGUAACCUGCCUGGUAGCGGGGGAUAACUAUUGGAAACGAUAGCUAAUACCGCAUAAAAUUGAUUAUUGCAUGAUAGUCAAUUAAAAGGUGCAACUGCACCACUACCAGAUGGACCUGCGUUGUAUUAGCUAGUUGGUGGGGUAACGGCUCACCAAGGCGACGAUACAUAGCCGACCUGAGAGGUGAUCGGCCACACUGGGACUGAGACACGGCCCAGACUCCUACGGGAGGCAGCAGUAGGGAAUCUUCGGCAAUGGACGGAAGUCUGACCGAGCAACGCCGCGUGAGUGAAGAAGGGUGUCGGAUCGUAAAGCUCUGUUGUAAGAGAAGAACGAGUGUGAGAGUGGAAAGUUCACACUGUGACGGUAUCUUACCAGAAAGGGACGGCUAACUACGUG